GUCUUCGUGGUGUAACGGUUAACACACUCGGCUCAUAUUAGAGAGAUUCAAGUUCGAGUCCCGGCGAGGGCA
This 72-nucleotide transfer RNA is filed under the name Stegodyphus mimosarum. It matches the Rfam family "tRNA". From Rfam's summary of the family: Transfer RNA (tRNA) molecules are approximately 80 nucleotides in length. The record is from Rfam by way of RNAcentral. Lineage: Eukaryota; Metazoa; Arthropoda; Arachnida; Araneae; Eresidae.